Long non-coding RNA from Oncorhynchus masou masou (cherry salmon), 8064 nucleotides. RefSeq lists it as uncharacterized. The record is from RefSeq and is a predicted model, not a curated record. The transcript is spliced from 2 exons. Lineage: Eukaryota; Metazoa; Chordata; Actinopteri; Salmoniformes; Salmonidae.
GCAGAGCAUGCUGCGUCAGUGUUGUAGUGAUGUUUGAGCAGAGCAUGCUGCGUCAGUGUUGUAGUGCUGUUUGAGCAGAGCAUGCUGCGUCAGUGUUGUAGUGAUGUUUGAGCAGAGCAUGCUGCGUCAGUGUUGUAGUGAUGUUUGAGCAGAGCAUGCUGCGUCAGUGUUGUAGUGAUGUUUGAGCAGAGCAUGCUGCGUCAGUGUUGUAGUGAUGUUUGAGCAGAGCAUGCUGCGUCAGUGUUGUAGUGAUGUUUGAGCAGAGCAUGCUGCGUCAGUGUUGUAGUGAUGUUUGAGCAGAGCAUGCUGCGUCAGUGUUGUAGUGCUGUUUGAGCAGAGCAUGCUGCGUCAGUGUUGCAGUGAUGUUUGAGCAGAGCAUGCUGCGUCAGUGUUGUAGUGAUGUUUGAGCAGAGCAUGCUGCGUCAGUGUUGUAGUGAUGUUUGAGCAGAGCAUGCUGCGUCAGUGUUGUAGUGCUGUUUGAGCAGAGCAUGCUGCGUCAGUGUUGUAGUGAUGUUUGAGCAGAGCAUGCUGCGUCAGUGUUGUAGUGAUGUUUGAGCAGAGCAUGCUGCGUCAGUGUUGUAGUGAUGUUUGAGCAGAGCCUACAGUCCUCUUUUUAUAUCUCAACACAUCUGGGGAAGAGAGAUACGAUGACCCAUUCCCCUGACUGUAAGUAUUGAUCGGUCCCCUGACUGUAAGUAUUGAUCGGUCCCCUGACUGUAAGUAUUGAUCGGUCCCCUGACUGUAAGUAUUGAUCGGUCCCCUGACAGUAAGUAAGUAUUGAUCGGUCCCCUGACAGUAAGUAAGUAUUGAUCGGUCCCCUGACAGUAAGUAAGUAUUGAUCGGUCCCCUGACAGUAAGUAUUGAUCGGUCCCCUGACAGUAAGUAAGUAUUGAUCGGUCCCCUGACAGUAAGUAAGUAUUGAUCUGUCCCCUGACAGUAAGUAAGUAUUGAUCGGUCCCCCUAACAGUAGGUAUUGAUCGGUCCCCUGACAGUAAGUAAGUAUUGAUCGGUCCCCCUAACAGUAGGUAUUGAUCGGUCCCCCUAACAGUAGGUAUUGAUCGGUUCCCCUAACAGUAAGUAUUGAUCGGUCCCCCUAACAGUAAGUAUUGAUCGGUUCCCCUAACAGUAAGUAUUGAUCGGUCCCCCUAACAGUAAGUAUUUAUCGGUCCCCUAACAGUAAGUAUUGAUCGGUCCCCUAACAGUAAGUAUUGAUCGGUCCCCUAACAGUAAGUAUUGAUCGGUCCCCUAACAGUAAGUAUUGAUCGGUUCCCCUAACAGUAAGUAUUGAUCGGUUACCCUAACAGUAAGUAUUGAUCGGUUACCCUAACAGUAAGUAUUGAUCGGUUACCCUAACAGUAAGUAUUGAUCGGUCCCCUAACAGUAAGUAUUGAUCGGUUACCCUAACAGUAAGUAUUGAUCGGUCCCCCUAACAGUAAGUAAGUAUUGAUCGGUCCCCUGACAGUAAGUAUUGAUCGGUUCCCCUAACAGUAAGUAUUGAUCGGUCCCCCUAACAGUAAGUAAGUAUUGAUCGGUUCCCCUAACAGUAGGUAUUGAUCGGUCCCCCUAACAGUAAGUAUUGAUCGGUUCCCCUAACAGUAGGUAUUGAUCGGUCCCCCUAACAGUAAGUAAGUAUUGAUCGGUCCCCCUAACAGUAAGUAAGUAUUGAUCGGUCCCCUGACAGUAAGUAAGUAUUGAUCGGUUCCCCUAACAGUAAGUAUUGAUCGGUCCCCCUAACAGUAAGUAAGUAUUGAUCGGUUCCCCUAACAGUAAGUAUUGAUCGGUCCCCCUAACAGUAAGUAUUGAUCGGUCCCCCUAACAGUAAGUAUUGAUCGGUCCCCCUAACAGUAAGUAAGUAUUGAUCGGUCCCCUGACAGUAAGUAAGUAUUGAUCGGUUCCCCUAACAGUAAGUAUUGAUCGGUCCCCCUAACAGUAAGUAAGUAUUGAUCGGUUCCCCUAACAGUAAGUAUUGAUCGGUCCCCCUGACAGUAAGUAUUGAUCGGUCCCCUGACAGUAAGUAUUGAUCGGUCCCCUAACAGUAAGUAAGUAUUGAUCGGUUCCCCUGACAGUAAGUAAGUAUUGAUCGGUCCCCUGACAGUAAGUAUUGAUCGGUCCCCUGACAGUAAGUAUUGAUCGGUCCCCCUAACAGUAAGUAAGUAUUGAUCGGUUCCCCUAACAGUAAGUAUUGAUCGGUCCCCCUAACAGUAAGUAUUGAUCGGUCCCCCUGACAGUAAGUAUUGAUCGGUCCCCUGACAGUAAGUAUUGAUCGGUCCCCUAACAGUAAGUAAGUAUUGAUCGGUUCCCCUGACAGUAAGUAAGUAUUGAUCGGUCCCCUGACAGUAAGUAUUGAUCGGUCCCCUGACAGUAAGUAAGUAUUGAUCGGUCCCCCUAACAGUAAGUAUUGAUCGGUCCCCUAACAGUAAGUAAGUAUUGAUCGGUCCCCUAACAGUAAGUAAGUAUUGAUCGGUUCCCUAACAGUAAGUAUUGAUCGGUCCCCUGACAGUAAGUAUUGAUCGGUUCCCCUAACAGUAAGUAAGUAUUGAUCGGUCCCCUAACAGUAAGUAUUGAUCGGUCCCCUAACAGUAGGUAUUGAUCGGUCCCCUAACAGUAAGUAUUGAUCGGUCCCCUAACAGUAAGUAUUGAUCGGUUCCCCUAACAGUAAGUAUUGAUCGGUUCCCCUAACAGUAAGUAUUGAUCGGUUCCCCUAACAGUAAGUAUUGAUCGGUUCCCCUAACAGUAAGUAUUGAUCGGUCCCCUGACAGUAAGUAUUGAUGGUCCCCUAACAGUAAGUAUUGAUCGGUUCCCCUAACAGUAAGUAUUGAUCGGUUCCCCUAACAGUAAGUAUUGAUCGGUUCCCCUAACAGUAAGUAUUGAUCGGUUCCCCUAACAGUAGGUAUUGAUCGGUCCCCUAACAGUAAGUAUUGAUCGGUUCCCCUAACAGUAAGUAAGUAUUGAUCGGUCCCCCUAACAGUAAGUAUUGAUCGGUCCCCUAACAGUAGGUAUUGAUCGGUCCCCUAACAGUAAGUAUUGAUCGGUUACCCUAACAGUAGGUAUUGAUCGGUUCCCCUAACAGUAAGUAAGUAUUGAUUGGUUCCCCUAACAGUAAGUAAGUAUUGAUCGGUUCCCCUAACAGUAGGUAUUGAUCGGUCCCCCUAACAGUAGGUAUUGAUCGGUUCCCCUAACAGUAAGUAUUGAUCGGUCCCCCUAACAGUAAGUAUUGAUCGGUUCCCCUAACAGUAAGUAUUGAUCGGUCCCCCUAACAGUAAGUAUUUAUCGGUCCCCUAACAGUAAGUAUUGAUCGGUCCCCUAACAGUAAGUAUUGAUCGGUCCCCUAACAGUAAGUAUUGAUCGGUCCCCUAACAGUAAGUAUUGAUCGGUUCCCCUAACAGUAAGUAUUGAUCGGUUACCCUAACAGUAAGUAUUGAUCGGUCCCCUAACAGUAAGUAUUGAUCGGUUACCCUAACAGUAAGUAUUGAUCGGUCCCCUAACAGUAAGUAUUGAUCGGUUACCCUAACAGUAAGUAUUGAUCGGUCCCCCUAACAGUAAGUAAGUAUUGAUCGGUCCCCUGACAGUAAGUAUUGAUCGGUUCCCCUAACAGUAAGUAUUGAUCGGUCCCCCUAACAGUAAGUAAGUAUUGAUCGGUUCCCCUAACAGUAGGUAUUGAUCGGUCCCCCUAACAGUAAGUAUUGAUCGGUCCCCCUAACAGUAGGUAUUGAUCGGUCCCCCUAACAGUAAGUAUUGAUCGGUCCCCCUAACAGUAAGUAAGUAUUGAUCGGUCCCCUGACAGUAAGUAAGUAUUGAUCGGUUCCCCUAACAGUAAGUAUUGAUCGGUCCCCCUAACAGUAAGUAAGUAUUGAUCGGUUCCCCUAACAGUAAGUAUUGAUCGGUCCCCCUAACAGUAAGUAUUGAUCGGUCCCCCUAACAGUAAGUAUUGAUCGGUCCCCCUAACAGUAAGUAAGUAUUGAUCGGUCCCCUGACAGUAAGUAAGUAUUGAUCGGUCCCCUGACAGUAAGUAAGUAUUGAUCGGUCCCCUGACAGUAAGUAAGUAUUGAUCGGUCCCCCUAACAGUAAGUAAGUAUUGAUCGGUUCCCCUAACAGUAAGUAUUGAUCGGUUCCCCUAACAGUAAGUAUUGAUCGGUCCCCCUAACAGUAAGUAAGUAUUGAUCGGUUCCCCUAACAGUAAGUAUUGAUCGGUCCCCCUAACAGUAAGUAUUGAUCGGUCCCCCUGACAGUAAGUAUUGAUCGGUCCCCUGACAGUAAGUAUUGAUCGGUCCCCUAACAGUAAGUAAGUAUUGAUCGGUUCCCCUGACAGUAAGUAAGUAUUGAUCGGUCCCCUGACAGUAAGUAUUGAUCGGUCCCCUGACAGUAAGUAAGUAUUGAUCGGUCCCCCUAACAGUAAGUAUUGAUCGGUCCCCUAACAGUAAGUAAGUAUUGAUCGGUCCCCUAACAGUAAGUAAGUAUUGAUCGGUUCCCUAACAGUAAGUAUUGAUCGGUCCCCUGACAGUAAGUAUUGAUCGGUUCCCCUAACAGUAAGUAAGUAUUGAUCGGUCCCCUAACAGUAAGUAUUGAUCGGUCCCCUAACAGUAGGUAUUGAUCGGUCCCCUAACAGUAAGUAUUGAUCGGUCCCCUAACAGUAAGUAUUGAUCGGUUCCCCUAACAGUAAGUAUUGAUCGGUUCCCCUAACAGUAAGUAAGUAUUGAUCGGUCCCCUAACAGUAAGUAUUGAUCGGUUCCCCUAACAGUAAGUAUUGAUCGGUUCCCCUAACAGUAAGUAUUGAUCGGUUCCCCUAACAGUAGGUAUUGAUCGGUCCCCUAACAGUAAGUAAGUAUUGAUCGGUCCCCUAACAGUAAGUAAGUAUUGAUCGGUCCCCUGACAGUAAGUAUUGAUCGGUCCCCUGACAGUAAGUAAGUAUUGAUCGGUCCCCUAACAGUAAGUAUUGAUCGGUUCCCCUAACAGUAGGUAUUGAUCGGUCCCCUAACAGUAGGUAUUGAUCGGUUCCCCUAACAGUAAGUAUUGAUCGGUUCCCCUAACAGUAAGUAUUGAUCGGUCCCCUGACAGUAAGUAUUGAUGGUCCCCUAACAGUAAGUAUUGAUCGGUUCCCCUAACAGUAAGUAUUGAUCGGUUCCCCUAACAGUAAGUAUUGAUCGGUUCCCCUAACAGUAAGUAUUGAUCGGUCCCCUGACAGUAAGUAAGUAUUGAUCGGUCCCCUAACAGUAAGUAUUGAUCGGUUCCCCUAACAGUAGGUAUUGAUCGGUCCCCUAACAGUAAGUAUUGAUCGGUUCCCCUAACAGUAAGUAUUGAUCGGUUCCCCUAACAGUAAGUAUUGAUCGGUCCCCUGACAGUAAGUAAGUAUUGAUCGGUCCCCUAACAGUAAGUAUUGAUCGGUUCCCCUAACAGUAAGUAUUGAUCGGUCCCCUGACAGUAAGUAAGUAUUGAUCGGUCCCCUAACAGUAAGUAUUGAUCGGUUCCCCUAACAGUAGGUAUUGAUCGGUCCCCUAACAGUAAGUAUUGAUCGGUUCCCCUAACAGUAAGUAUUGAUCGGUUCCCCUAACAGUAAGUAUUGAUCGGUCCCCUGACAGUAAGUAAGUAUUGAUCGGUCCCCUAACAGUAAGUAUUGAUCGGUUCCCCUAACAGUAGGUAUUGAUCGGUCCCCUAACAGUAAGUAUUGAUCGGUUCCCCUAACAGUAAGUAUUGAUCGGUUCCCCUAACAGUAAGUAUUGAUCGGUCCCCUGACAGUAAGUAUUGAUCGGUCCCCUGACAGUAAGUAUUGAUCGGUUCCCCUAACAGUAAGUAUUGAUCGGUUCCCCUAACAGUAAGUAUUGAUCGGUUCCCCUAACAGUAAGUAUUGAUCGGUUCCCCUAACAGUAAGUAUUGAUCGGUUCCCCUAACAGUAAGUAUUGAUCGGUCCCCCUAACAGUAAGUAUUGAUCGGUCCCCUAACAGUAGGUAUUGAUCGGUCCCCCUAACAGUAUGUAAGUAUUGAUUGGUUCCCUCUACAUAUGUUUAGUGGUGUUUUCUCCACUUGACAUCCGUGUCACCAGUCAGAUCUGAACCCUGGUCUCCCGCAUAUCAAACCAACACCUUAACCAAUAGGCCAAGAGGACAUUCUGUCUCAAGCGGAGGGUGACACGUAUUUUAUGCCUCAGGUAGAACCUCAUCAGUAGAGCUUUGAGUCCGACUCACCUCCACUACAUACAGGGAUGAUCACCAAGGAAAAUACAUGUUUUUUAAAGCUCGUUGUCUAACAGUCUUUUUCAGUAUCUGGUCUGGAGAUCAUUCAGCUGGGGAAGACUGGAGCAGGGAUGAGUGUGACAGGAAACACCAAAGAGGUGUUUAUAGAGGAGUUAUCUUCUGAGUCUGUGACGACACAAUGUGAUGAUGUCCAGAGGAUGAAGAGGACAGCUUCAGACACUACUGAAACAGCAGGAGGAGGAGCAGCAGGAGGUGCAGCAGCAGGAGGAGCAGGCAUAACAGAAGGUGUACUAGCAGCAGUACUAGGAGGAGUAGCAGGAGGAGGAGCAGCAGGAGCAACAGAAGGUGUACUAGCAGCAGUACUAGGAGGAGAAAAGGAAGCAGCAACAGAAGGUGUACUAGCACCAGUACUAGGAAUGGCAGGAGAAGGAGCAGCAGCAGGAGGAGCAGGGGAAGGUGUAGUAGCAGCAGUACUAGGAGGAGCAGCAACAGGAGUAUUGGUAUUAGCUUUGGGAAUACCAGCAGGAAUAGCAGGAGCAGGUGUAGCAGCAGUUGCAGGAGUAGCAUUUGCAGAGAUUUUUCAAAAACUUAUGCCGAAAUCUACAAAAGGCAGGUGGAAAAGAGAAAGCCUCUGAAAAGGGAGUACAGAUCUGGUUAACAACAAUGAAACUACAUGAGAGGAUAUUGUAUGUUUGUUUCUCUAGUUAAGACUAAUGUAAAAAUGUAUGGGUUCAAAUUAUAAAACAAAACGUACAUCAAUAUACCUUUAUGGAAGGAACUUGUGUACUUUUUAAAAUCAGUCCAUCCCUCUUAUUUAUCGUCAUUUUUUUCAAUGGAACGUUUAGGGACCCCAAAAAAUCAUUCUUUAAGUUGCAAUGUGAAUAAAUGUUACUAUCAUGUUUGUGUAGUGAAACAUGGGUAAUUUCAUGGUGAUUUUAAAGUAACCAAUGAAGGAUAUAUCACUGAUUAAAUAUAAUUUGUCUAUUGUGUCUUGCAUGCAAUAUAAAUAUAAAAACAAACAUUUAUUGACAUGUUGUGUACCGUUAGUAAAUGGGUGUGGCGUUAGAUGCGCCCCCUCCUGCACCAAUAGCAAACAGGUAUGAGAUUCCAUUACGGGUUCUAGAGGAAACUAAUGUGAAACUCCCAUGUCCCCUGUAAUCAGACUCAACACAUAGAUUGACAGAAAAAUCGACGUUGUGAGGAUCCAUUUCUCUCCGGAGUCGGUUGGAUAGAAGAUCCUACAGCCACUUUGUCAAUUUGAAGGCAAACUGACAUAAUGCCUAGAUUGGUCCCCUGCAGUAAUCCUUGGCUAAUGCAGUGUUCCAUUAAAAAAAAGAGCAUCUGUGCCAUUAUUUCAACUUCUAACAAUAAUAAUAAUAAUAUUUUGUCAUUUUAGAUUAUAUUAAUUGAGACAGUUUUAUAUCUUGUGUCAUUGCUGUACUGCAACAUAAAAACAAUAAUCAAGAUUACACAGUCCGUGACGUCACUGCUUUGAGUUUGCGUAGGCCUACAGUACAUAUUGCCAUCUACUGGGCAGGUUGUGUUACUACAUUUGAUUUCCCUCAACUGUCAUUCAGUGUGUAGAAGAGAUGCCCAUCUGACUCAAUGCGUAGGGUGACAGAAAAUCGACUUUGUGUGGAUUAGUUUCGGAGUCUGGUGGAUAGAAAAUCCUACAGCCACUUUGUUCAUUUGAAGACAAAGGUAACGUUUAGAUAUGUCAUCUGCUCCCGCGGUAACCAUAGGCUACUGCAGCGUUCCAUAAAAUGUAUAUUUCAACUUAACAAUAAUACUUUGUAAUUUUAGGAUCAUAUUGAGACAGUUGUAUUUCUUGUUCAUGCUGUACUGCAACAUACAAAAAUAAAUCAAGAUUACACAA